RNAcentral lists this ribosomal RNA (465 nucleotides) under uncultured bacterium. RNAcentral describes it as "partial 16S ribosomal RNA". It matches the Rfam family "Bacterial small subunit ribosomal RNA", at positions 338 to 795 of the family's 1533-position model. The record is from RNAcentral.
CCUACGGGAGGCUGCAGUGGGGAAUAUUGCGCAAUGGGCGAAAGCCUGACGCAGCGACGCCGCGUGAGGGAUGAAGGUCUUCGGAUCGUAAACCUCUGUCAGCAGGGAAGAACGGGCACUGUGCUAAUCAGCAGUGAAUUGACGGUACCUGCAAAGGAAGCACCGGCUAACUCCGUGCCAGCAGCCGCGGUAAUACGGAGGGUGCGAGCGUUAAUCGGAAUUACUGGGCGUAAAGCGCUCGUAGGCGGUAUGUCAAGUCAAGGGUGAAAUCCCCGCGCUCAACGUGGGAACUGCCUUUGAAACUGGCAGACUGGAGUGUGUGAGAGGGUAGUGGAAUUCCAGGUGUAGGGGUGAAAUCCGUAGAUAUCUGGAGGAACAUCAGUGGCGAAGGCGACUCUCUGGCCCAUAACUGACGCUGAGGAGCGAAAGCGUGGGUAGCAAACAGGAUUAGAUACCCUUGUAGUC